UCGGGGUGCAGGGUGGGUACCCAAACCCCCCCCUCCCUGCCCCCAGGUGAGCCUGUACGCCGACCCGCCACGGCCCAGCCGCAGCCUCGCCGUGGGCACCGUGGGCACCGGCUGCCGGGUGACGGCCCUCAGCAUCCCGCAGGCCAGGACGGCGGCUUUCGGCACGACCCCGGCCCCGGCCCCGCCGGCCUCGCCGGGUGGUGGAGCUCCAGCACCGGGACCGUCAGACCGGGAGGGAUCGCCCCAACCUCCUUCCCCCCCUCCACCCGGGGGGGGCUGCCCAGCCUGCCCGGGGCCGUGCCGCUGCCCGGGCACCCAGCUGACGAGGACGCUGGCGGGACAGACCCACAAGCUGCAGGCCCAGGCAAGCUCCGGGGGGGGGGGCGGCUGCAGCGGGGAGAGGGGGCUGCAGCGGGGCUGGGCUCAGCCCUUUCUCCCCCGGGCAGGUGGAAUCCUUCGAAGGCCGGAUCCGGGCUGGGAGCCCCGCGCCCCAGGAGCAGCUCCAGAGGUUUAGGAAGCUGAGGGAUGCGCAGGAUGCGCUGGAGCGGGCGUACCUGCGAGCCCGGCAGCAGCACCCAGGGGCCUCGGGGGAGUUCGAUCCCGACCGGUAAGCGCUUGACCCCCACCGCCCUCU
Molecule: long non-coding RNA, 634 nt
Filed under: Aquila chrysaetos chrysaetos
Lineage: Eukaryota; Metazoa; Chordata; Aves; Accipitriformes; Accipitridae
Description: lncRNA (ENSACCG00020016961.1)
Source: RNAcentral